AAAAAAAUAUAAGUACUUAUUAUUUUUAUAAGAUUUUAAUUAAUAAAUACUAAUUUAUCUAAGAGCAAUAACGUAAUUUACCUUUCAAAAUGUCAACUUCACACAAUUUUAGUGCUAAUUUGGGGCAAAUUAAUCUACUCUAUCAAUUUUAUGGUCUAACUGACCUAACCUUUAUAUUUUACAUUUAAUUGUAUCUUGUUACCUUGAUGAGGUAUAAAUUGAACUUUUGAACAGAUAUGGUGAUGAGUUAUAAAUCAAAAGGAAGAUGAGAAGAUGAAAUAAGUAAAGUGUUUGGGUUAUUAAAAUGGGCUAUAAAUUGUGAAGUUAAAGGGUUUAGUAGCCUAGAUUGCAUAACAGUUGUGUGAUUAAUUGCAAACAAAUCAUAUUUUUAUUUAUGCCUUAGUUUUUUAGUAAAUAGAUAUCACAGUUAAUUUUGCUGACUCUGAGAUUGAAGGAUCAAUAUAGUGAUAAAUAAAAUUUGAAAAGAAAUAUGUAAUGAAAAUUUGAAAAGAAAUAUGUAAUG
RNAcentral lists this unclassified non-coding RNA (523 nucleotides) under Hevea brasiliensis (rubber tree). The record is from RNAcentral. Lineage: Eukaryota; Viridiplantae; Streptophyta; Magnoliopsida; Malpighiales; Euphorbiaceae.